AACUUCGUGCCAGCAGCCGCGGUAAUACGAAGGGACCUAGCGUAAUUCGGAAUUACUGGGCGUAAAGCGCGCGUAGGCGGUUAAGUAAGUUAAUUGUGAAAGCCCAAAGCUCAACUUUGGAAUUGCAAUUAAAACUACUUAGCUAGAGUUUAUCAGAGGAAAGCGGAAUACAUAGUGUAGAGGUGAAAUUCGUAGAUAUUAUGUAGAACACCAGUUGCGAAGGCGGCUUUCUGGGAUAACACUGACGCUGAGGUGCGAAAGUAUGGGUAGCGAAGAGGAUUAGAUACCCUCGUAGUCCAUACCGUAAACGAUGAUUGUUAGAUGUUGGAAAUUUAUUUUCAGUAUCACAGCUAACGCGUUAAACAAUCCGCCUGGGGAGUACGACCGCAAGGUUAAAACUCAAAUGAAUUGACGGGGACCCGCACAAGCGGUGGAGCAUGUGGUUUAAUUCGAAGCUACGCGCAGAACCUUACCAACACUUGACAUGUCUGUCGCGGAUUCCAGAGAUGGAUUCCUUCGGUUCGGCCGGACAGAACACAGGUGCUGCAUGGCUGUCGUCAGCUCGUGUCGUGAGAUGUUGGGUUAAGUCCCGCAACGAGCGCAACCCCUACUUCUAGUUGCCAUCAGGUUAAGCUGGGCACUCUAGUAGGACUGCCUGUGAUAAGCAGGAGGAAGGUUGGGAUGACGUCAAGUCCUCAUGGCCCUUACGUGUUGGGCUACACACGUGCUACAAUGGCAGUGACAAUGAGAUGCUAAACAGCGAUGUUAAGCUAAACUCAAAAACCUGCCUCAGUUCGGAUUGCACUCUGCAACUCGAGUGCAUGAAGCUGGAAUCGCUAGUAAUCGCUCAUCAGCGCGGAGCGGUGAAUACGUUCCCGGGUCUUGUACACACCGCCCGUCACACCAUGGAAGUUGGUUUUACCUUAAGGCAUGUCACUAACCCUCGGGAAGUGCGUGACCACGGUAUGAUCGGCGACUGGGGUGAAGUCGUAACAAGGUAGCCGUAGGGGAACCUGC
RNAcentral lists this ribosomal RNA (1017 nucleotides) under marine metagenome. Its description in RNAcentral is "bacterial SSU rRNA". It matches the Rfam family "Bacterial small subunit ribosomal RNA", at positions 499 to 1515 of the family's 1533-position model. The record is from RNAcentral.